GAUGAACGCUGGCGGCGUGCCUAAUACAUGCAAGUCGAGCGAAUGGAUUAAGAGCUUGCUCUUAUGAAGUUAGCGGCGGACGGGUGAGUAACACGUGGGUAACCUGCCCAUAAGACUGGGAUAACUCCGGGAAACCGGGGCUAAUACCGGAUAACAUUUUGAACCGCAUGGUUCGAAAUUGAAAGGCGGCUUCGGCUGUCACUUAUGGAUGGACCCGCGUCGCAUUAGCUAGGUGGUGAGGUAACGGCGCACCAAGGCAACGAUGCGUAGCCGACCUGAGAGGGUGAUCGGCCACACUGGGACUGAGACACGGCCCAGACUCCUACGGGAGGCAGCAGUAGGGAAUCUUCCGCAAUGGACGAAAGUCUGACGGAGCAACGCCGCGUGAGUGAUGAAGGCUUUCGGGUCGUAAAACUCUGUUGUUAGGGAAGAACAAGUGCUAGUUGAAUAAGCUGGCACCUUGACGGUACCUAACCAGAAAGUCACGGCUAACUACGUGCCAGCCGCCGCGGUAA
RNAcentral lists this ribosomal RNA (515 nucleotides) under uncultured bacterium. RNAcentral's name for it is "partial 16S ribosomal RNA". It matches the Rfam family "Bacterial small subunit ribosomal RNA", at positions 28 to 523 of the family's 1533-position model. The record is from RNAcentral.